GACGAACGCUGGCGGCGUGCUUAACACAUGCAAGUCGAACGGAAAGGCCCUGCUUUUGUGGGGUGCUCGAGUGGCGAACGGGUGAGUAACACGUGAGUAACCUGCCCUUGACUUUGGGAUAACUUCAGGAAACUGGGGCUAAUACCGGAUAGGAGCUCCUGCUGCAUGGUGGGGGUUGGACAGUUUCGGCGGUUGGGGAUGGACUCGCGGCUUAUCAGCUUGUUGGUGGGGUAGUGGCUUACCAAGGCUUUGACGGGUAGCCGGCCUGAGAGGGUGACCGGCGACAUUGGGACUGAGGUACGGCCCAGACUCCUACGGGAGGCAGCAGUGGGGAAUAUUGCACAAUGGGCGGAAGCCUGAUGCAGCAACGCCGCGUGCGGGAUGACGGCCUUCGGGUUGUAAACCGCUUUCGCCUGUGACGAAGCGUGAGUGACGGUAAUGGGUAAAGAAGCACCGGCUAACUACGUG
Molecule: ribosomal RNA, 468 nt
Filed under: uncultured bacterium
Lineage: Bacteria
Description: partial 16S ribosomal RNA
Rfam family: Bacterial small subunit ribosomal RNA
Source: RNAcentral